RNAcentral lists this ribosomal RNA (232 nucleotides) under uncultured bacterium. RNAcentral describes it as "partial 16S ribosomal RNA". It matches the Rfam family "Bacterial small subunit ribosomal RNA", at positions 99 to 334 of the family's 1533-position model. The record is from RNAcentral.
CGGACGGGUGAGUAAUGUCUGGGAAACUGCCCGAUGGAGGGGGAUAACUACUGGAAACGGUAGCUAAUACCGCAUAACGUCGCAGGACCAAAGAGGGGGACCUUCGGGCCUCUUGCCAUCGGAUGUGCCCAGAUGGGAUUAGCUAGUAGGUGGGGUAAAGGCUCACCUAGGCGACGAUCCCUAGCUGGUCUGAGAGGAUGACCAGCCACACUGGAACUGAGACACGGUCCAG